RNAcentral lists this ribosomal RNA (334 nucleotides) under uncultured eukaryote. RNAcentral's name for it is "partial 18S ribosomal RNA". It matches the Rfam family "Eukaryotic small subunit ribosomal RNA", at positions 1470 to 1796 of the family's 1831-position model. The record is from RNAcentral.
CCCUUAGAUGUCCGGGGCCGCACGCGCGCUACACUGAAGGAAUCAGCGUGGCUUUCUCCCUGACCCGAAAGGGUUGGGAAACCCGUUGAAUCUCCUUCGUGAUAGGGAUUGGGGCUUGAAAUUGGUCCCCAUGAACGAGGAAUUCCCAGUAAGCGCGAGUCAUAAGCUCGCGUUGAUUACGUCCCUGCCCUUUGUACACACCGCCCGUCGCUACUACCGAUUGAACGGUUUAGUGAGGGCCUCGGAUUGGUCUCGGCCCGCUCUUUACCGGGCGGCGCCGUUGGUCGAGAAGACGCUCGAACUUGAUCGUUUAGAGGAAGUAAAAGUCGUAACA